AUUAUAUUGGCAGAAUAAUGCAUUAGAAUUAGAAUCUAAUCAACUAUUCAUUA
This 53-nucleotide transfer RNA is filed under the name Pardosa chapini. Its description in RNAcentral is "tRNA-Leu". Lineage: Eukaryota; Metazoa; Arthropoda; Arachnida; Araneae; Lycosidae. RNAcentral also lists the same sequence under 1 other name. The record is from RNAcentral.